Molecule: long non-coding RNA, 691 nt
Organism: Cotesia glomerata
Lineage: Eukaryota; Metazoa; Arthropoda; Insecta; Hymenoptera; Braconidae
Exons: 3
Source: RefSeq, a predicted model, not a curated record
AAUUUGUUUGUCAAAAAAAAAAUAAAAAAAUGAUCAAGUGACAGCUAACUUUAUAAUAUCAUCGACAACACUAUGCUUCUUCACCUACUGAUAUGACUGUCACCACGAACCACUACGAAUAGAGAGAGUUUAGUUGGGUACGCGUGCUACAUUACCGCCAAAAAUACACGUGGAUUGUCCUACAUCCACUAUCAACUUGUUCAGCUGCUGUAUUAAUAAUACAUGUCAUUAAAUAUUUAAAAGCAUCUACAUAAUUUAUAGCGUUUUACAAGCAUGAUGAGGCCACUUCUUCCGUUCUAGCUCCGGUGAGCAAGCGGAACAUUUAUAUUAUUAAAUAUUUUACUUGUACUUGUAAGUGUUUUAUGUGCAAUAAGAAAUAAAAAAUAAUUCAAUGCAAUCUGGCCGAAACUGGGUCAACUAUUAGGACUACUAUUUUCUGGGUCCGGUGGUGUAAAAUUCCCACUUGGAGUAAUCAUCCAGCUCAAUGUGCUAAAUAGUACAAUCAUUGCGCUAUAUCUGUAUUGACUUUCAAUUACUUAAACAUUAGCUUGAUUGAAGUUAAAAUAGGGCUGGGCAAUAACUCAGCUAUCAAUGUGUCUUGGAUCUCUUUUAAAUUACCAAGAUAGAAUCUGACCUUUUUUUUUCUUAUUAUGAUAAUUAUUCUCUGGUUUAAAAAAUAGAAUUUAAAUUG